Molecule: ribosomal RNA, 414 nt
Filed under: uncultured bacterium
Lineage: Bacteria
Description: bacterial SSU rRNA
Rfam family: Bacterial small subunit ribosomal RNA
Source: RNAcentral
ACUCCUACGGGAGGCAGCAGUGGGGAAUAUUGCACAAUGGGCGCAAGCCUGAUGCAGCCAUGCCGCGUGAGUGAAGAAGGCCCCUCGGGUUGUAAAGCUCUUUUGUCAGGGAAGAAACGGUGAUCUCUAAUAUAGAUUGCUAAUGACGGUACCUGAAGAAUAAGCACCGGCUAACUACGUGCCAGCAGCCGCGGUAAUACGUAGGGUGCAAGCGUUAAUCGGAAUUACUGGGGCGUAAAGCGUGCGCAGGCGGUUUUGUAAGUCUGAUGUGAAAUCCCCGGGCUCAACCUGGGAACUGCAUUGGAGACUGCAAGGCUAGAGUGUGUCAGAGGGGGUAGAAUUCCACGUGUAGCAGUGAAAUGCGUAGAGAUGUGGAGGAAUACCGAUGGCGAAGGCAGCCCCCUGGGAUAACAC